RNAcentral lists this small RNA (99 nucleotides) under Citrobacter koseri. Its description in RNAcentral is "partial RtT sRNA". It matches the Rfam family "RtT RNA", at positions 47 to 130 of the family's 130-position model. Rfam says of the family: This family represents a bacterial cis-regulatory element known as RtT RNA. The exact function of RtT is unknown although it is thought that it may be involved in changing the cellular response in relation to amino acid starvation. Lineage: Bacteria; Pseudomonadati; Pseudomonadota; Gammaproteobacteria; Enterobacterales; Enterobacteriaceae. The record is from RNAcentral.
UUUUAACAUCGCUCUCAGGUGUUAAACGUGAAGGAUAACGUUGCGUCAGCAACGGCCCGAAGGGCGAGGCGAAGCCGAGUCAUCCUGCACGACCCACCA